UGUAUUUGAUGUUCUUUUAUCAUUUCAUUUAAAAAGUUAUGAUAGCCUGAUGAUGGUGGAAACCUCCACCCAAAAACGUUUGCAAGAAAAUAAAGUCUAUUAAAAUAAUAACUGCUAAAGUGUGCUAGUUUGUUGGUUUUAUUGAUUACCUUAACAAAGUAAAGCAGUUAAAGGAAGAUAUGGAUUAUAGAGAGCUGAGCCAGCUCCGUAAGGAGUACAUUAAAACUAACAGGAAACGAUUGAGACCAUUCAAAACAAUGAAAUUUCUAGAAGAAUAUAGAGUUAACCAGGUCUUCCCACUGACUAUAGACAACAUUAAAUUAGCACUUUUUUUAGAUUUUAUUGGUAACAAAUCCAAAGAAAAUCUAUCUGAAGGUAACUUUAUCCGAUGCAAAGAUCAAACAUUAUGAUAAAACAUGAUAAAACAUUGAGUACUAUGCUACUUAACAUCAUAUUUAUUUAUAUAUUUAUUAUUAAAGUUAAGUAAUGUAGAGUACUAUAAAACAUUGAGGCUAGAAAUGAUCUAUAGGGAUCAAGUUGUGCAAUAGCAAGAUGCAAAGCAGUUUAUGAAUAUGAUAGAAAAACAGGGGGGAAACUA
This 598-nucleotide long non-coding RNA is filed under the name Androctonus crassicauda. Lineage: Eukaryota; Metazoa; Arthropoda; Arachnida; Scorpiones; Buthidae. The record is from RNAcentral.